RNAcentral lists this unclassified non-coding RNA (268 nucleotides) under Hevea brasiliensis (rubber tree). Lineage: Eukaryota; Viridiplantae; Streptophyta; Magnoliopsida; Malpighiales; Euphorbiaceae. The record is from RNAcentral.
CUACACUGAUAGAUUCGCUGCCUUCAGGGCUUCCUCUUCUAAAGCUAAAUUUCUCGAAGAUGUUGGGUCUUUUACUCAAACUCUUCCUGGUGAUACCAGGCAUCAUCUCCAUGUCUUACCCCAUGAAUCGUCUGCCGUGCUUAAAGAACCCAUUGGAAUUGUUUUUACGGAUAACUCUACCAAUUCACCUGCAGAAACCUUCUCCAGCGCUACAAUUCCAGAUUCAUCAGCUCAAGAUACAAGAGAGCAUAAAUCUGCUAGAGUAUUA